Branchiostoma floridae (Florida lancelet) is the source of this 337-nucleotide long non-coding RNA. RefSeq lists it as uncharacterized. The transcript has 3 exons. The record is from RefSeq and is a predicted model, not a curated record. NCBI's taxonomy places the organism in Eukaryota, Metazoa, Chordata, Leptocardii, Amphioxiformes, Branchiostomatidae.
AUAAGGAACUUCGCCAAGCCUUUAACCGCCUGUCUCUGAAGGUGGGACAGAACCAGUGGAGACCCAUCGCCCGGGAGUUGGGCUUCAGCAAACAGGAGAUUAAAGACAUUGAGUCUGAAAGUCCAGACGAACCGAUGUACGAGACGCUGGUAAGAUGGAGAGAGCGAGCCGGUCCUGCUGCCAGCCUGGCUGUCCUGGAGCGGUGUCUGAGGGACCUGGACCUGCACCAGCUGGCAGACCAGAUCACCAGGACGGCUAUGAGCCCGACUCGCAGAGGACAUGAGUCAGAAGAAAGCGGAGCAGUCGGAGGCCAGCUGCUGGGUGAGGUGCAGAGGAG